UUAAUUUUAUGAGUGUGCACAUUCAUUUUUGUAAUAAACACUGAUAUCUUGCUCCUAGUUUUCCGCUACAGGAAAGGAGCUGGAUUUGUAGCCUUAGUUCAUUACCCAAGGUUUUUUAGUAGUUUAUGGUGCUUCUGGAAGGUAAGUCCACCCAUCCAUUAGCUGCAGAGCAGCCAAGCAACUGGCACUUACUCCUUAGAGUAAAUGGGCAGACAGCUUCCUAACUCGGUCCUCGGGUCAACCUGAAGAAUGGACAGUCAUCAUCUACUCCCUGCCGACAAGGGAACUGCACAUCCUCUGGAACUAGUGAAUGCAGCCUGGUUGAACAGAUAUGCAGCCCAUGCUCAGAGGCCAUACAGGGCUUCAUCCCUAGCUAAGGAAUUGGCUCUGUAUGCUCGAGCCUGUAUUUCCUUUAAUGAAGUCUAAUGUAGAAAUGUUACUUGUAAAUCUAUCCCUUGUGCAGUGGCUCUUUCUUAGCCCAAUGUGCCCUAUUGUUGCAUUUUCCAAUUGAGCUCUAGGGCUGGAGAAAGAUCAUUUUAGUGGUGAUAAGUAUUAUGGGAUAUUCAACUCAAC
RNAcentral lists this long non-coding RNA (573 nucleotides) under Marmota monax (woodchuck). The record is from RNAcentral. Lineage: Eukaryota; Metazoa; Chordata; Mammalia; Rodentia; Sciuridae.